RNAcentral lists this ribosomal RNA (721 nucleotides) under Cognaticolwellia aestuarii. RNAcentral describes it as "bacterial SSU rRNA". It matches the Rfam family "Bacterial small subunit ribosomal RNA", at positions 67 to 779 of the family's 1533-position model. Lineage: Bacteria; Pseudomonadati; Pseudomonadota; Gammaproteobacteria; Alteromonadales; Colwelliaceae. The record is from RNAcentral.
CGGAACGAGAAUAGCUUGCUAUUCGGCGUCGAGCGGCGGACGGGUGAGUAAUGCUUGGGAAUAUGCCUUAUGGUGGGGGACAACAGUUGGAAACGACUGCUAAUACCGCAUAACGUCUACGGACCAAAGGGGGGGAUCUUCGGACCUCUCGCCAUUUGAUUAGCCCAAGUGAGAUUAGCUAGUUGGUAAGGUAAUGGCUUACCAAGGCGACGAUCUCUAGCUGGUUUGAGAGGAUGAUCAGCCACACUGGGACUGAGACACGGCCCAGACUCCUACGGGAGGCAGCAGUGGGGAAUAUUGCACAAUGGGCGAAAGCCUGAUGCAGCCAUGCCGCGUGUGUGAAGAAGGCCUUCGGGUUGUAAAGCACUUUCAGCGAGGAGGAAAGGUUAGUAGUUAAUAACUGCUAGCUGUGACGUUACUCGCAGAAGAAGCACCGGCUAACUUCGUGCCAGCAGCCGCGGUAAUACGAGGGGUGCAAGCGUUAAUCGGAAUUACUGGGCGUAAAGCGUGCGUAGGUGGUUUGUUAAGCAAGAUGUGAAAGCCCUGGGCUCAACCUGGGAACUGCAUUUUGAACUGGCAAGCUAGAGUUUUGUAGAGGGUAGUGGAAUUUCCAGUGUAGCGGUGAAAUGCGUAGAGAUUGGAAGGAACAUCAGUGGCGAAGGCGGCUACCUGGACAAAGACUGACACUGAGGCACGAAAGCGUGGGGGAGCAAACAGGAUU